RNAcentral lists this ribosomal RNA (512 nucleotides) under Tellinella cumingii. Its description in RNAcentral is "partial 16S ribosomal RNA". It matches the Rfam family "Bacterial large subunit ribosomal RNA", at positions 1805 to 2619 of the family's 2925-position model. The record is from RNAcentral. Lineage: Eukaryota; Metazoa; Mollusca; Bivalvia; Cardiida; Tellinidae.
UAUCAAAAACAUGGCCCUCUGUUUUAAGUGUAAAGGGGGUCUGGCCUGCCCGGUGGGAAUGAAAGUUCCUAAACGGUCGCAGCUACAACUGUGCGAAGGUAGCGCAAUAGGUCGUCCUUUAAUUGGGGGAGAGUAUGAAUGGUCGGAUGUUGGAAGGACUUUAUUAGGGGCAUUGGUUGAAAUUUACUUUUUAGUGCAAAGGCUGAAAUAAGGUUAUUAGACGAGAAGACCCUAUUGAGCUUGGUAAGCUCAAGUAUUGAAGGCUUGGGUUGUAUGUUUUUUCGGGGCUGAAAAGAAGGGAUGGAAUAUCUUCUGUUUUUAACGCUGAUCCAACAUGGUUGAGAAGGGGAAGAUAGUUACCAUAGGGAUAACAGCGCAAUUUCCUUGAUAAGAUCAUAUUUAAGGGGGAGUUUGCGACCUCGAUGUUGAAUCAGAGUUUCUGCCAGGUGCAGCGGCUUGGCAAGUGGGACUGUUCGUCCUUUAAAGCUCUACGUGAUCUGAGUUCAGACCGG